GGGUGUAUAGCUCAGUUGGUUAGAGCGCAGCCCUGAUAAGGCUGAGGUCCCUGGUUCGAAUCCAGGUACACCCA
This 74-nucleotide transfer RNA is filed under the name Pseudomonadota bacterium. RNAcentral's name for it is "tRNA-Ile". It matches the Rfam family "tRNA". Rfam says of the family: Transfer RNA (tRNA) molecules are approximately 80 nucleotides in length. Their secondary structure includes four short double-helical elements and three loops (D, anti-codon, and T loops). RNAcentral also lists the same sequence under 3 other names. Lineage: Bacteria; Pseudomonadati; Pseudomonadota. The record is from RNAcentral.